RNAcentral lists this transfer RNA (73 nucleotides) under uncultured Chromatiales bacterium. RNAcentral's name for it is "tRNA-Ala". It matches the Rfam family "tRNA". Rfam says of the family: Transfer RNA (tRNA) molecules are approximately 80 nucleotides in length. Their secondary structure includes four short double-helical elements and three loops (D, anti-codon, and T loops). The record is from RNAcentral. Lineage: Bacteria; Pseudomonadati; Pseudomonadota; Gammaproteobacteria; Chromatiales.
CCAUAGCUCAGACGGGAGAGCACCUGCUUUGCAAGCAGGGGGUCGGCGGUUCGAUCCCGCCUGGCUCCACCAC